This 1587-nucleotide long non-coding RNA is filed under the name Homo sapiens (human). RNAcentral describes it as "non-protein coding LAMTOR5-AS1:19". Lineage: Eukaryota; Metazoa; Chordata; Mammalia; Primates; Hominidae. The record is from RNAcentral.
GGCCUGGCAUUUUGUGUCAGUGUUUUUUAACCUUUGGACCCUAGUUCAACCGACUCCGAGACCUAGGGGACAGAUCUUAAGUUUUACAAUAACCCAGGGGUCAGACAGGGUCUGAUCUAGCCUGUGGGGCAAGUACGGGGAAGACACGGGACCUCUUGGAGGGGGUCAGUAGGCUUGUAGGGGGAAAGACGCACACAGAGACUAAAGGACGAGAUGGAGCAAGGUUCAACCCCCUAGCUGAGUGUUGGCAGUGUCGGGAUUUUAACGAAGACAUUGGUGCUUAUUAUGGUGAGGGGACUCAGGACAGUUUAGGGGAAGAGAGUGGCAUUUGAGUCCUAACUCGUAAGGAAGACUGGGUAGGACUACUUGAAAAUAACUUUUAAAAAUUAAUUAUAAAGCUGGUAAAAAUAGGAAAACAUCUAUGGCCCCACUGUCCAAAGACGACUUUUAACUUCUUGGAGAAUAUCCUUUCAGAUAGUUGUCUUUGUAAAUGUAUACUUUUAAUGUUUUUUCGUUUGCCUUUUUAAAAUAAAUUUUUUGGGGGACAGGGUCUUGCUCUGUUACCCAGGCUGUAGUGCAGUAGAACGAUUAUAGCUCAUUGCAACCCGGACGUCCUGGGUUCAAGCUAUCCUCACCUCUCAGCCUCUCGACUGGCUAGGACCACAGCCUCGAGCCAUCAUGUCUGGCUAAUUUUUACGUUUUUUUGUAGAGAUGGGGGUCUCGCUGUGUUGUCCAGGCUGGUCUUAAACUCCUUGCUUCAACAGAUCCUCCCACUCCAGCCUCCCAAAAUGUGAUUACAGGCUGAGUCACCACGCCUAGCAUGGUUUUUUUUGUUUUGUUUGUUUUGUAAGCAAAAUUGACAUACAUACUGGAGGUACAAUUCUGUAGCUGGCCUUCUUUACAGAGUUUAGAAUAAAUGUCUUUCCAUGUCAAGUUUUCACUUACAUCCUUUGUAGUAGUUGCAAAAUAUUCCAUUUUAUAGCUGUAUCUUAAUUGUGGAUUAAGGUUGGAGUGCAGUGGCACUAUCAUGGCUUAGUCCAGCCUCAGCCUUCUAGGUUCAAGCGAUCUUCCCACCUCAGCCUCCCAAGAAGCUGGGACUACAGGGACCCGCCACCCCACCUAGCUAAUUAAAAAAAAAAUUGUAGAGAUGGAGUCUCAGUGUGUAGCCCAGUCUCAAGUGACCCUCCCUCGUUGGCUUCCCAAAGCGCUGAGAUUGCAGGUGAGCCACUGUACUUGGACUUUUUUUUUUUUUUUUGCUUUUGUUUGUUUUUUGUUUUAGCUAUUACAAUGCUGGUUGAAUAUCCUCAUAGCUAAAUAUCUGUGCAGUUUUAAAAUUUCCUUAUAAGUUACUAGAAAUGGAAUGACUGGGUUAAAGGACAUGAUCAUUUUUUAAGACUCUUGAUACAUACUUACAAAUUGCCUCCCGAAAAAGUGGUGCUAAUUUACUCAAAUUGGUAAGCCUCACCCCCUCUGUGGAUCAUUCCUUGCACUAAGUUUCUUCCAACUCUGUCACCUCCAGCUUUUUACUCACAGCCUACCUUCCAAUCUGGGGCCCAGCUCCCAGAUCGGAAGAUACCAGACUUUGGU